CCAAGCCGCCGCUCCGACUCCGCUCCCACUACUACGACUACCACGACUACUACGCCGAAGAAACUUUUUUGUUGUCGUUGUUGUUCUAAGAAUACCCUCCAACGCGCCCCCUCCUUCAGCACGCAGUGUUACCUCUCCUCUACUCCCAGCAGCCAUGGACGUGAACAGCAACCACUUCAAUCCCGUCAAUUCCCACCCCUUAAGACAACGGCCAGGAUCCCGCUUCCCGCAUCCGGAAGUGACGUCAGGGGAACUGAUCCUGCUGAACUUGGAGCUGUUUGUCAACUAUCUGCUCUUCGUCGUCAUGUCUUCCAUGCUCUACGUCGGCGUCAAACAGUACUUCCGGCGCGCGCGUCUCGUGGGGUUUGCCUGGGUGUGGCCCAGUCGCAUGGAGGUGAUGAUGAUGCUCGUCCCCAACGUAUUCUUCGGGAUCUGGUAUAGCGUGUAUGCGUAGUAGCUUAUCCCGUCCUUAAUAAUGGGGAACAUUGGACUUCAUUGACAGCACUUGUUAACGCCACUGCAAUGCAUCUUACUCACGUGAACUCUAGAGUGGAUGUUGGCAGCCUUUCGUUAAGAUUUAAGUCUAUUUCUAUGAACUGACUCGAAAUUCCAGUAAGACAUAUUUAAUCUGGCUUCUUCGCAAAAUGUGCGGACACUACCGUGUGUGGUGUAACGUCAUAGAUGUAGGUGAAAAGACAAUUUUAUAUUGACAUAAACGAGAGUAGAAUGGGACAAGAAGGGGUCGCCUUCACUGUUUUAUGUAGCAUCUUCCUUGGCAACGGGGCUUGGGGUGAUGGAAUUAGUUGAUAGCAUCGCUUACGCCUUUCUAUGCAAUGGGUUAGUUUAUUGCAUUUUCUGCGCAGGGAUAUCUAUCACAGCUUCCUGGGCAAAGGUGCACCGUGGAAAUCUUUCAGGGUUAUUGUGGGAGGUCGUCCUUGGGGACAGACGUCAUGGGCCACGCCCUCCCUUGGGCGCUGACCUUCACACCAUACCCCCUGUUUUUUUUUGUUUUUUUUUUUUCAUUUAAAGCUUGCAGUAGCUAUCUGUUAGACUUCGUCCUGAUUCGACUCUGAGGUCGGCUGGACGUUAACCAUUAGUAGUAAUAACAAUUAUCUGUUUUGACUGGACAUCCAUCUACCUGGGCUUGGGAAGCUGGGAGGUCAUCGAGUUGGCGAUUGGUGUUUUACGUCAGGUACUGACUAUCGCCCGCGUUCAUUUGCACCUGUUCACCUGGUGGCAGUUUUGUUGCUGAUGGCCUUUAGUGGUCGGCUGGACUUGAAACAUGGCGUGAACGGAACAUAGAAUGUAAUGCAUUGUCUAGGACUUAACGCAAAGUGAACUGAACUGAAGUGUGGUGAAUGUAAUGCAUUAUCUAGUAAAGACAACGUACUUCCCUAGAGGAUUUUUGUGUGGUCAUCCUUUGGCAGCGAUGAUGGACUGAAAUCUUCCGGUAGGACUGACGCUGUUUAAAGUGACCUGACGUCAUCGGUAGUGCUGGUGACGUCGUUUCAUGGGACUAUUGCGAAAGAUGACGUCAUGCAGGGUUACGGACUGAUGACAUACCGGGUACUAAUGACAUACCGGGUACUAAUGACAUACCGGGUACUAAUGACAUGUGAAUCUAAUUGCUUUGACAAUCUUUCCGUGUCCCCCAUCAGUUUGGAAUCAGUCUUGAUCCAAUCAACGUCUGGACGGCUGUUCCAUCCUCGAUUCUGGGACAUGGAAAGUGGUCAUCCAACUUUAAAAAAACAAACAAAAAAACGAAACAAAGCUGCAUUUUACGUAAUUUGAAUUUAAGAUUUUGUUUAUAAAUACAAACGAAAAUAAACUAUAUCAUGGGCUGUUGGUAUUAAAUUUUUUUGGAAUUUCUUGCGAUCACAAAGGAAACGCUUUUUCAUACUUAUGUGCUUUAAAAUAUUUCCUGGACAUUUUUUUUCUAUCACAAACAAAACGCUUUAUCAUUAUGUGCUUUAAAAUCAAGAUUUGUUUAGAAGGAUAAAAGGACCGAAGUUUCAUCCUAUGUGCCUUGCAAGUAAGUUUUGCUAGACUUUUUGUGACCACUAAUGAAACCGCUUCAUCUUUGAAAGUAAAGAUUUUUUAAACUUUUUUAUAGCAGUAAUUUAGGAAACUCUUAUCGUUAUGUCCUUCAACAUUAUUUUUAAGUGAGAAGAAGAACCGAAUCGUUUAACCUACGUGCCUUGCAAGUAAAGUUUGGCUAGACUUUUGCGAAAACAAACUAAACACUUAAUCAUGCUUUAAAAGGAAGAUUUUCUAUUUUUUGCGAUCGCAAUGGGUGCUAAGCUUUAUCACGUGCUUUGAAAUAGAUUUGCCAGACCUAUUGCGACCACAAACAAAAUUCUUUGUCAUGUGCUUCGAAAAAAAAUCGUUAAAAAGAUUAAACGCACUGUAGUUUUGUGUGCUUUUGAAAUCAAGAUUUGGUUAGAUUUGUUUUGCAACACUUCUGACCGACGUCCGUAAAUACUAAUUCCUUUGACCAAUGGAUUGUGUUUGUUGGAAACGCUAUAAAGUCUAUUUCAUCGUUUGAAUACUGUCAUACUGAAUGGUCAGAUAUUGAGUUCAUUUGCUAUCACAAACAUACCAAAGGUGUAUCAACCGAUCUCGGUCCAUGAAAUAAACUUUGCGUUAGUCAGUUGGAAACGCUGUUACUUCUGUUAGUUUGGAACACAAGUUUUAAAGGUAAAAAAAAUGUUUUUAUUUCGUUGACAUCUCUGCGUAGUCCUUUUCUGAAAUUGAAUAUUCGUUGUAAAUAUGUCUUAAACCGAUGUGGUUCAUUUGAUUGAUAGACUUUAUUUUAGUGUGCUGUAAACCGCUGUAAGGUCUAUUACGUCUUUUGACCACUUGACAUUUUUACUUAACACGUGAUUGUAAAUCCAUUGACAUUAAUUUGGGGUACUUUGCCUAGUCGUUUUCUUAACAAAGAAUUAAAAACAAUAAUUAAAUAGAACAUCUGAAGUGUUGACAGUAUUUUGCUGUUACAAGCUUUUUCAAGUAACCAUGGACUUGUAAUGUAAGAACUGAAACAAAGUAAAAGACCAACCACUCUGCCUGCUCUAACCCUUGGGAUCUGGAGGGGGUAUAUUUUCAGGAUCACUUCAUGCGUCCAUGAAAGUUAAUUUGGCUUCCCAUUUUUUGUUUAAUCAAGUAACUUUUUGCCUCUCCUCGACCCAUCCAUCUGCUUAACUCUUUAAAUUUCCCCCAAAUACCUGGGCUGUCUUCUGUUCCUCCCUUUGGACAUUUGUCGGCUCAAUUGUAUGAAAUGUUUUAAAGUAUAUUGCGAUGUUUUAGUCGACUGUUUAAUUACAUCAGCAUGGUAAAGGCUUUUGUGUUGUUCGCAACUAAAGUCUUAAAGCAUUUUAUGGCAUUUUUAACGGUUCGACACAUUCUAGUCAUAUGCCCGUGCUAAACUGAAAUGUCUUAAACAUUUUAUGGCGUUUUAAAGUUAGUCGACACAUUCUAGUGGUAUUAAUUGAAAUGUUUAAAAGCAUUUUGUGGCAUUUUAAAAUUGUUCGACACAUUCUAGUCAGAUGCGCGUAGUGAAUUGAAANGUCUAAAAAAAACUUUUUAUGGCGUAUUAAGGUGUUAGUCUACAGAGCCAUUCUAGUCACACCAGUGUGGUCAAGAUUUUCGUGUUAUGAUCAAUCGAACAAUUUUUAAAGCAUUUUAAUUGCAAUUCAAACCGUUUUAAUGAGCACAUUACGUUAUGGUUGACAACAUACAUAGCUGUUGGGUUCUUUGCUUGGUCAUUCACAGACAGUGAAUCAUCAGUUUACGAUUUCAAAGAACCCAACCAUAUAGUUAUGAACAAUGUACACGUGGCAAAGCGCCUUGCAAUUUUAUACUCGUGUAAACAUGGUACAUCAGUGAAAUAGUUAACAUAUCAUUCAAUGGUGAUUUUUGUUAGUCGAUGGCAUGGAUCUUCCUGAUAUGGCUAAGUGUAGUCGGCUGGACGUCAAUCAUGAAUGAUAACUAAUUCAUGGGUGGGCCUUUCUACAAAUCCCCUGCGUUUAUUUAAUUAUUUCUCGAAUAUAUUGAUCUUUCAUCCGACGAUGUUUGGGUUUUUUUUGCGUUUUCGAUGUAUUUCAGAAACACCGGUGUGACUGAAAGAUCCUACUAUUCCUUUAAAAAAGGAUUUCAAAGUCUCUUGCAUUUUUCUGACGUCUAUUGGAAAACCCCAUUUAGUCUUUCUAACAUCUAACG
RNAcentral lists this unclassified non-coding RNA (4218 nucleotides) under Ilyanassa obsoleta. RNAcentral's name for it is "Tritia obsoleta partial localized RNA 1". The record is from RNAcentral. Lineage: Eukaryota; Metazoa; Mollusca; Gastropoda; Neogastropoda; Nassariidae.